GGACUACCCGCUGAACUUAAGCAUAUCACUAAGCGGAGGAAAAGAAACUAACUAGGAUUCCCCCAGUAACUGCGAGUGAAGAGGGAAGAGCUCAUCAUUGGAAUCUGGCAGUGUUUCACUGUCCGAGUUGUAGAUGAGGAGUAGUCCGUCUGGACUGCAUGGCGUCCAAGUACAAUAGGCCGUCAGUGGGACAUCAUAGAGGGUGACAAUCCCGUCCUUGACGCCAAUGUGCAAGUCUAUUACGAUGGCUAUCUCAGAGAGUCGAGCAGUUUGGGAUUUGCUGCUUAAACAUGGGAGGUAGAUUCCUUCUAAAGCUAAAUACAGGCGAGAGACCGAUAGAGAACAAGUACCGCAAGGGAAAGAUGAAAUAGCACUCUGUGAAGGGAGUCAAAAGGCGUGAAAUUGUUGCGAGAGAAGCGAUUCAAGUCAGCGUAGCUAGGCCCAUCAAGCGUCUUCGCUUUGGACUAGCUUUGCCAGCGGUCUUGUCCCUUAAAGAGACUUGACUUGUAAUAUGUCCAGCCUGGCGUGCACAGGCAGCCCCUUCUGGGGGCCAGUGACAUGGCUGGUGGAAUGGCUUGCAAUCGACCCGUCUUGAAACACGGACCAAGGAGUCUAACAUGUAUGCGAGUAUAAGGGUGGCAAACCCGUAUGCGCAAUGAAAGUGAUUUUCGGUGAUUGAGAAUGGCCUGAUGACCAGACAAGCAAUAUAUGUCCCUCGUACGGCCAUUGCCCAAGUUCCGUGGUAGAUCCCACGAACAUGGAGUUGGAGCAUACAUGCUAGGACCCGAAAGAUGGUGAACUAUGCCUGGACAAAGCGAAGCCAAAGGAAACUCUGGUGGAGGCUUGUAGCGAUUCUGACGUGCAAAUCGAUCGUCUGAUCUGGGUAUAGGGGCGAAAGACUAAUCGAACCAUCUCAUAGCUGGUUCCUGCCGAAGUUUCCCUCAGGA
This 947-nucleotide ribosomal RNA is filed under the name Cantharellus cibarius (golden chanterelle). Its description in RNAcentral is "eukaryotic LSU rRNA". It matches the Rfam family "Eukaryotic large subunit ribosomal RNA", at positions 19 to 978 of the family's 3401-position model. Lineage: Eukaryota; Fungi; Basidiomycota; Agaricomycetes; Cantharellales; Hydnaceae. The record is from RNAcentral.